UGAUUGGUAGCUCAGUGGUGGAGUGCAUGCUUUGUGUGUAUGAUAUCCUGGAUUCAAUCCCCAGCUUCUUCC
This 72-nucleotide transfer RNA is filed under the name Dallia pectoralis (Alaska blackfish). Its description in RNAcentral is "tRNA-Thr". The stretch from base 7 to 65 matches the Rfam family "tRNA", at positions 7 to 64 of the family's 71-position model. From Rfam's summary of the family: Transfer RNA (tRNA) molecules are approximately 80 nucleotides in length. Their secondary structure includes four short double-helical elements and three loops (D, anti-codon, and T loops). Lineage: Eukaryota; Metazoa; Chordata; Actinopteri; Esociformes; Umbridae. The record is from RNAcentral.